AUUUUCGGAUGACCGCUGGCGGCAGGCCUAACACAUGCAAGUCGAGCGGUAGCACAGAGAAGCUUGCUUCUUGGGUGACGAGCGGCGGACGGGUGAGUAACGCGUGGGAAUCUACCUGGUAGUGGGGGACAACAGUCGGAAACGACUGCUAAUACCGCAUACGCCCUUCGGGGGAAAGUGGGGGAUCUUCGGACCUCACGCUAUCAGAUGAGCCCGCGUCGGAUUAGCUUGUUGGUGAGGUAAAGGCUCACCAAGGCGAUGAUCCGUAGCUGGUCUGAGAGGAUGACCAGCCACACUGGGACUGAGACACGGCCCAGACUCCUACGGGAGGCAGCAGUGGGGAAUAUUGGACAAUGGGGGCAACCCUGAUCCAGCCAUGUCGCGUGUGUGAAGAAGGCCUUCGGGUUGUAAAGCACUUUCAGCUGUGAGGAAAGGUGAGUGGUUAAUACCCGCUUGCCUGUGACGUUAACAGCA
Molecule: ribosomal RNA, 474 nt
Filed under: uncultured bacterium
Lineage: Bacteria
Description: bacterial SSU rRNA
Rfam family: Bacterial small subunit ribosomal RNA
Source: RNAcentral